Molecule: ribosomal RNA, 253 nt
Filed under: uncultured prokaryote
Description: partial 16S ribosomal RNA
Rfam family: Bacterial small subunit ribosomal RNA
Source: RNAcentral
ACGUAGGGUCCGAGCGUUGUCCGGAAUUACUGGGCGUAAAGAGCUCGUAGGUGGUUUGUCGCGUUGUUCGUGAAAACUCACAGCUCAACUGUGGGCGUGCGGGCGAUACGGGCAGACUUGAGUACUGCAGGGGAGACUGGAAUUCCUGGUGUAGCGGUGAAAUGCGCAGAUAUCAGGAGGAACACCAGUGGCGAAGGCGCCACUCUGGGCCGUAACUGACGCUGAGGAGCGAAAGCGUGGGUAGCAAACAGGA